This 253-nucleotide ribosomal RNA is filed under the name uncultured bacterium. Its description in RNAcentral is "partial 16S ribosomal RNA". It matches the Rfam family "Bacterial small subunit ribosomal RNA", at positions 524 to 776 of the family's 1533-position model. The record is from RNAcentral.
CACGUAGGGCGCAAGCGUUGUCCGGAAUUAUUGGGCGUAAAGAGCUCGUAGGCGGCCUGUUGCGUCCGCUGUGAAAUCCCGGGGCUUAACCCCGGGCGUGCAGUGGAUACGGGCUGGCUGGAGGCAGGCAGGGGAGAACGGAAUUCCCGGUGUAGCGGUGAAAUGCGCAGAUAUCGGGAGGAACACCGGUGGCGAAGGCGGUUCUCUGGGCCUGUUCUGACGCUGAGGAGCGAAAGCGUGGGGAGCAAACAGG